RNAcentral lists this ribosomal RNA (496 nucleotides) under uncultured bacterium. RNAcentral's name for it is "partial 16S ribosomal RNA". It matches the Rfam family "Bacterial small subunit ribosomal RNA", at positions 28 to 506 of the family's 1533-position model. The record is from RNAcentral.
GAUGAACGCUGGCGGCGUGCCUAAUACAUGCAAGUCGAGCGAACAGAUGAGGAGCUUGCUCCUCUGACGUUAGCGGCGGACGGGUGAGUAACACGUGGAUAACCUACCUAUAAGACUGGGAUAACUUCGGGAAACCGGAGCUAAUACCGGAUAAUAUAUUGAACCGCAUGGUUCAAUAGUGAAAGACGGUUUUGCUGUCACUUAUAGAUGGAUCCGCGCCGCAUUAGCUAGUUGGUAAGGUAACGGCUUACCAAGGCAACGAUGCGUAGCCGACCUGAGAGGGGGACCGCCCACACGGGAACGGAAACACGUCCCAACCUCCCAGGGGAGGCAGAAGGAGGGAAUCUCCCGCAAGGGGGGAAACCCUGACGGAGCAACGCCGGUGGAGGGAUGAAGGUCUUCGGACCGUAAAACGCUUUUUUUAGGGAAAAACAAAUUGGAAAUUAACAAUGCCGGUUUGGCGGGUACCAAACAAAAAAGCCCCGCCAAACUACGC